GACGAACGCUGGCGGCGUGCUUAACACAUGCAAGUCGAACGGAAAGGCCCUGCUUUUGUGGGGUGCUCGAGUGGCGAACGGGUGAGUAACACGUGAGUAACCUGCCCUUGACUUUGGGAUAACUUCAGGAAACUGGGGCUAAUACCGGAUAGGAGCUCCUGCUGCAUGGUGGGGGUUGGAAAGUUUCGGCGGUUGGGGAUGGACUCGCGGCUUAUCAGCUUGUUGGUGGGGUAGUGGCUUACCAAGGCUUUGACGGGUAGCCGGCCUGAGAGGGUGACCGGCCACAUUGGGACUGAGAUACGGCCCAGACUCCUACGGGAGGCAGCAGGCGGGAGUAUUGCACAAUGGGCGGAAGCCUGAUGCAGCAACGCCGCGUGCGGGAUGACGGCCUUCGGGUUGUAAACCGCUUUCGCCUGUGACGAAGCGUGAGUGACGGUAAUGGGUAAAGAAGCACCGGCUAACUACGUG
Molecule: ribosomal RNA, 468 nt
Filed under: uncultured bacterium
Lineage: Bacteria
Description: partial 16S ribosomal RNA
Rfam family: Bacterial small subunit ribosomal RNA
Source: RNAcentral